GAUGAAGAACGCAGCGAAAUGCGAUAAGUAAUGUGAAUUACAGAAUUCAGUGAAUCAUCGAAUCUUUGAACGCACAUUGCGCCCUCUGGUAUUCCGGGGGGCAUGCCUGUUCGAGCGUCAUUACAACCCUCAAGCUUUGCUUGGUAUUGGACAUUGCCAGUUUCUGGCAGGUCUUAAAAUCAGUGGCGGUGCCAUUUGGCUUCAAGCGUAGUAAUUCUUCUCGCUUUGGAGAUCCAGGUGGUUACUUGCCAAUAACCCCCAAUUUUUUCAGGUUGACCUCGGAUCAGGUAGGGAUACCCGCUGAACUUAAGCAUAUCAAUAAGCGGAGGA
Molecule: unclassified non-coding RNA, 330 nt
Filed under: soil metagenome
Description: partial contains 5.8S ribosomal RNA, internal transcribed spacer 2, and large subunit ribosomal RNA
Rfam family: 5.8S ribosomal RNA (bases 1-120)
Source: RNAcentral